CAGGAUACCAAACAAAAAUAUUACAUAGAGAUGCAGUACCAACAAUAUUCACUCACAUAUCUCACAUAAGGUAAAGUUAUAACGACCAGAGCCGACACUGUACACUUCUAAAGAAAGUGAACAAGAGGAAAUAUUUUUUUUAUCACCAAAAGUCGGAAUUGUUCAGUGCUUCGUAGUCAUUGUAUUCUAACUAUAUUGAAUAAAAAUCUUAUAAAGAA
This is a long non-coding RNA of Pectinophora gossypiella (pink bollworm), 218 nucleotides long. RefSeq lists it as uncharacterized. The transcript has 2 exons. NCBI's taxonomy places the organism in Eukaryota, Metazoa, Arthropoda, Insecta, Lepidoptera, Gelechiidae. The record is from RefSeq and is a predicted model, not a curated record.